CUGCUCACAGAUGGGCUGCGGAAGAUCUACAGGGCUAGGAGGCGGGAGAGGCGAGCGGUACUUUAUGGGUAGGGGUAAAAUCCUUUGAUCCAUAGAAGACCACCAGUGGCGAAGGCGGCUUGCCGGAACGCGCUCGACGGUGAGGGAUGAAAGCUGGGGGAGCAAACCGGAUUAGAUACCCGGGUAGUCCCAGCUGUAAACGAUGCACACUCGGUGAUGAAUUGGCUUAUUGCUAAUUCAGUGCCGCAAGGAAGCCGUGAAGUUUGCCGCCUGGGGAGUACGGUCGCAAGACUGAGACUUAAAGGAAUUGGCGGGGGAGCACCACCAGGGGUGAAGCCUGCGGUUCAAUUGGAGUCAACACCGGAAAUCUUACCGGGGGCGACAGCAGAGUGAAGGUCAGGCUGAAGACUUUACCCGACCAGCUGAGAGGAGGUGCAUGGCCGUCGCCGGCUCGUGCCGUGAGGUGUCCUGUUAAGUCAGGUAACGAGCGAGAUCCCUGCCUCUAGUUGCUACCAUUAUUCUCAUGAGUAGUGGAGCUAAUUAGAGGGACCGCCGUCGCUGAGACGGAGGAAGGUGGGGGCUACUGCAAGUCAGUGUGCCCCGAAACCCUCGGGCCACACGCGGUGCUGCAAUGUGAAGGACCAUGAGUUUCGAUUCCGACCGGAGGAAGCGAUCUCUAAACCUUACCACAGUUAUGAUUGAGGGCUGAUACUCGCCCUCAUGUAUAUGGAAUCACUAGCAACCGCGUGUCACUAUCGCGCGGCUGAUACGUCACUGCUCCUUGCAC
RNAcentral lists this ribosomal RNA (787 nucleotides) under uncultured archaeon. RNAcentral describes it as "bacterial SSU rRNA". It matches the Rfam family "Archaeal small subunit ribosomal RNA", at positions 555 to 1342 of the family's 1478-position model. The record is from RNAcentral.